RNAcentral lists this ribosomal RNA (253 nucleotides) under uncultured bacterium. RNAcentral's name for it is "partial 16S ribosomal RNA". It matches the Rfam family "Bacterial small subunit ribosomal RNA", at positions 524 to 776 of the family's 1533-position model. The record is from RNAcentral.
UACGUAGGGUGCGAGCGUUAAUCGGAAUUACUGGGCGUAAAGCGUGCGCAGGCGGUUUUGUAAGCCAGAUGUGAAAGCCCCGGGCUUAACCUGGGAAUGGCAUUUGGUACUGCAAGGCUUGAGUGCGGCAGAGGAGACUGGAAUUCCUGGUGUAGCAGUGAAAUGCGUAGAUAUCAGGAGGAAUACCGAUGGCGAAGGCAGGUCUCUGGGCUGACACUGACGCUCAUGCACGAAAGCGUGGGUAGCAAACAGG